GGACAGGAGGUUUAGUAAUGGGUAGUUAUAGAGGACAGGAGGUUAUAGAGGACAGGAGGUUAUAGGGGACAGGAGGUUUAAUAAUGGGUACUUAUAGAGGACAGGAGGUUUAAUAAUGGGUAGUUAUAGAGGACAGGAGGUUUAGUAAUGGGCAGUUAUGGGGGACAGGAGGUUUAGUAAUGGGCAGUUAUGGGGGACAGGAGGUUUAGUAAUGGGCAGUUAUAGAGGACAGGAGGUUUAGUAAUGGGCAGUUAUGGGGGACAGGAGGUUUAGUAAUGGGCAGUUAUGGGGGACAGGAGGUUUAGUAAUGGGCAGUUAUAGAGGACAGGAGGUUUAGUAAUGGGCAGUUAUGGAGGACAGGAGGUUUAGUAAUGGGCAGUUAUGGAGGACAGGAAUUUAUAGAGGACAGGAGGUUUAGUAAUGGGCAGUUAUAGAGGACAGAAGGUUUAGUAAUGGGCAGUUAUCGAGGACAGGAGGUUAUAGAGGACAGGAGGUUAUAGAGGACAGGAGGUUUUUGUAAUGGGCAGUUAUAGAGGACAGGAGGUUUAGUAAUGGGCAGUUAUGGAGGACAGGAGGUUAUAGAGGACAGGAGGUUAUAGAGGACAGGAGGUUUAGUAAUGGGCAGUUAUAGAGAACAGGAGGUUUAGUAAUGGGCAGUUAUGGAGGACAGGAGGUUUAGUAAUGGGCAGUUAUGGAGGACAGGAGGUUUAGUAAUGGGCAGUUAUGGAGGACAGGAGGUUUAGUAAUGGGCAGUUAUGGAGGACAGGAGGUUUAGUAAUGGGCAGUUAUAGAGAACAGGAGGUUUAGUAAUGGGCAGUUAUGGAGGACAGGAGGUUUAGUAAUGGGCAGUUAUAGAGGACAGGAGGUUUAGUAAUGGGCAGUAGUAUAUAUAUCCCUGUGUUUCUGCCUAAACGUGCUGUGUAAGAGUAGAGCAGGGCUGCGAUGUAUUCCUUUUUCUUUAUUUUAGGUAUGAUAGCGUUUAAUGUCUUUAACUACCAAUAUCUAUAUAUCAAGCUAUAGAAAUAUAGAUCUGUGUCAAAUGUUCAUUUACAGGAUGUCCUGUGAAACCAUGUGGUCAGUAUUGUAAACCAGCAGAGAGAGAGAAAGAGAGAGCAGAUCUAUGUGUUUUAAUCGUAGACAUACAAUCUCUAAAACGGGACCUAGAACCUCUAAAACCCAUGUGACAAUUUGACUGGUAGACUCCACGAUUUUACACUCCCGUAAUGACUGCCAGUACACCCCAUUAUGACAUCGUUGACUGGAAUGGGGAGGUGUGUUCUAUAGAUUCUAUGUUCUACGGUUGUAUUUCUGGGCUGCUGCUGCUGCUGCUGCUGAUCUUUGUGUCUCUCUGGACUGAUGGAAGGAGAACCUUCCUGCAUGAUCCGUUACUAUGAUUUAAACAAACUGUAGAAUAAUGAUUUCUUAGCAGUUAAACAGAGAGUUGGUCCAGUGUGUGUGCUUUUCUCUAAUAUAUCUCUAGUAUAGUAUGCAAUACAACUGCUUCUACAUGUGCCACAGUAUUUUACAGAAAAAUAUAUAUU
Molecule: non-coding RNA, 1541 nt
Organism: Oncorhynchus mykiss (rainbow trout)
Lineage: Eukaryota; Metazoa; Chordata; Actinopteri; Salmoniformes; Salmonidae
Source: RefSeq, a predicted model, not a curated record